This 549-nucleotide ribosomal RNA is filed under the name uncultured bacterium. RNAcentral's name for it is "bacterial SSU rRNA". It matches the Rfam family "Bacterial small subunit ribosomal RNA", at positions 355 to 896 of the family's 1533-position model. The record is from RNAcentral.
UGGGGAAUUUUGGACAAUGGGCGCAAGCCUGAUCCAGCCAUGCGGCGUGUCUGAAGAAGGCCUUCGGGUUGUAAAGGACUUUUGUCAGGGAAGAAAAGGCUGUUGCUAAUACCGACAGUUGAUGACGGUACCUGAAGAAUAAGCACCGGCUAACUACGUGCCAGCAGCCGCGGUAAUACGUAGGGUGCGAGCGUUAAUCGGAAUUACUGGGCGUAAAGCUAGCGCAGACGGUUACUUAAGCAGGAUGUGAAAUCCCCGGGCUCAACCUGGGAACUGCGUUCUGAACUGGGUGACUAGAGUGUGUCAGAGGGAGGUAGAAUUCCACGUGUAGCAGUGAAAUGCGUAGAGAUGUGGAGGAAUACCGAUGGCGAAGGCAGCCUCCUGGGAUAACACUGACGUUCAUGCUCGAAAGCGUGGGUAGCAAACAGGAUUAGAUACCCUGGUAGUCCACGCCCUAAACGAUGUCAAUUAGCUGUUGGGCAACUUGAUUGCUUAGUAGCGUAGCUAACGCGUGAAAUUGACCGCCUGGGGAGUACGGUCGCAAGAUUA